GACGAACGCUGGCGGCGUGCUUAACACAUGCAAGUCGAACGGUGAAGCGCCUUCCUGUUUGGGGGGUGUGGUUGAGUGGCGAACGGGUGAGUAACACGUGAGUAACCUGCCCCCUUCUUCUGGAUAACCGCAUGAAAGCGUGGCUAAUACGGGAUCUUCUGGGUCUGUGGCAUGUUGGGUGUGGUUAAGAUAUUGUUUCGGUGGGGGAUGGGCUCGCGGCCUAUCAGCUUGUUGGUGGGGUGAUGGCCUACCAAGGCGGUGACGGGUCGCCGGGCUGAGAGGGUGGCCGGUCACACGGGGACUGGGACACGGUCCGGACGCGUACCGGAGCCAGCACCUGCGAGAAUUGGACAAUGGGAGUAAGGCUGAUGGAGCGGCGGCGCGAGGGAGCUGCAGGGCUUCGGGGUGUGAAGCCCUUUCGUCAGAGACGCCUGCCUGCAUCGUCUGUGGUUGUGGUGACGGUAGCUGGAUAAGAAGCGCCGGCUAACUACGUG
Molecule: ribosomal RNA, 494 nt
Filed under: uncultured bacterium
Lineage: Bacteria
Description: partial 16S ribosomal RNA
Rfam family: Bacterial small subunit ribosomal RNA
Source: RNAcentral